CCUACGGGGUGCUGCAGUGGGGGAUAUUGCACAAUGGGGGAAACCCUGAUGCAGCGACGCCGCGUGGGUGAAGAAGCGCCUUGGCGCGUAAAGCCCUGUCAGCAGGGAAGAAAAUGACGGUACCUGAAGAAGAAGCCCCGGCUAACUACGUGCCAGCAGCCGCGGUAAUACGUAGGGGGCAAGCGUUAUCCGGAUUUACUGGGUGUAAAGGGGGCGCAGACGGCGAUGCAAGCCAGGAGUGAAAGCCCGGGGCCCAACCCCGGGACUGCUCUUGGAACUGCGUGGCUAGAGUGCAGGAGGGGCAGGCGGAAUGCCUGGUGUAGCGGUGAAAUGCGUAGAUAUCAGGAGGAACACCGGUGGCGAAGGCGGCCUGCUGGACUGCAACUGACGUUGAGGCCCGAAGGCGUGGGGAGCAAACAGGAUUAGAUACCCUAGUAGUC
Molecule: ribosomal RNA, 440 nt
Filed under: uncultured bacterium
Lineage: Bacteria
Description: partial 16S ribosomal RNA
Rfam family: Bacterial small subunit ribosomal RNA
Source: RNAcentral